UGUGUUUUUUUUCUGCACCCUACUAGGUUCAUCGUUAGCUACCCCACAGCUGAGUGCCAUACUGGUCAUGACGUAACUACAGAAACAGGAAAACUUGCCGGGGAGCUGAGCCAAAGGCAAGAACUUUAUACCUGUGCAUGGCCAUGAUCCCAUGUACAAACAGCCCCAGAGGGUACCCAUGCGUGCUGUCAGCUUACUUAUCUGGGACCAGCGUGUGGCGCACGGCAGUCGGCCCAACAACAGCACGCGAGCAAGGUAUGUUCAAUUUGUAAAGAUGUUCCCAUCCAUCAACCUCCGCUCAGAACGAGCUAAGAAUCGUGGACAGCUUAUCAAGGACAAGGUUGAACUAGCUGGUGUCGACUUGACUGACCUGGGCAAGAAGCUGUUUGCCCUCAAGGCAUGGGCAUCCGCGGACACGAAAGUGCCCCGCGCCAAGGCUAAAAGACAUAGACUACAUGUUCGCAUGGCUCUUUGUACAUUCACAGUUGAGUGGCUCGUUUUAUGUGUAUGUUUAAAUCAUGUACACCCUCUGUCCCUAGUGUUUCAAGUGCAUACUGACGCUAACCUCCAAUGUUAUAUCCUAAGUAUCAGAUCUGCACUAUCGCACAUAAAACUGGUGUAUAUCUCUUUACUGUGUUGACUCACUACCCUACUAGCCACAGUCAUAUUUAUAUCAACAAUAACGUGGGCACCGCAUUAUUUUUUGUUUAGGAGCUGCCGGUACACCGGUAGCAUGGGUCACGCUAGUGCAAAAUAGGCUAGACUACAUGCAGCCGCGAUCCAGGCACUAUUCCAUCCAAGAAAUAGUGGGAGUAGCUAUCCUGAUGCCUUGCAACAUGUCCAAACGACUUCAACUUGAUGCUUGGUAAUAAAACUAAUUAUGGACCUUGCUCUUUAAAAAAAAUAGUUCAAUACUCGUAAAAUGAGUGCCAAUGGGCAAAGGUCUGGUGCUGCACUGAGAACACAUGAGUGGUGACAUCUCGUACUGCAAUAGGAACUACCAUAAAGUACCGCCAGA
Molecule: long non-coding RNA, 1018 nt
Organism: Sycon ciliatum
Lineage: Eukaryota; Metazoa; Porifera; Calcarea; Leucosolenida; Sycettidae
Exons: 4
Source: RefSeq, a predicted model, not a curated record